UACGUAGGGUGCGAGCGUUGUCCGGAAUCAUUGGGCGUAAAGAGCGUGUAGGCGGCCCGGUAAGUCCGCUGUGAAAGUCGGGGGCUCAACCCUCGAAUGCCGGUGGAUACUGUCGGGCUAGAGUGCGGAAGAGGCGAGUGGAAUUCCUGGUGUAGCGGUGAAAUGCGCAGAUAUCAGGAGGAACACCGAUUGCGAAGGCAGCUCGCUGGAUCUCUACUGACGCUGAGGUGCGAAAGCGUGGGGAGCAAACAGG
This 253-nucleotide ribosomal RNA is filed under the name uncultured bacterium. RNAcentral's name for it is "partial 16S ribosomal RNA". It matches the Rfam family "Bacterial small subunit ribosomal RNA", at positions 524 to 776 of the family's 1533-position model. The record is from RNAcentral.